Molecule: long non-coding RNA, 1075 nt
Filed under: Equus asinus (donkey)
Lineage: Eukaryota; Metazoa; Chordata; Mammalia; Perissodactyla; Equidae
Description: lncRNA (ENSEASG00005024922.1)
Source: RNAcentral
ACAUGCCUUUCCUCCCCACUAGAAUGGAAACUCAAAGAUCAAAAACCUAUUUGUUCUGUUCACUGUUGUAUUGCCAGCAUUUUGACAUAUAUAAGGACAAUCGUCUAAAUCAACAUUCCAAAUGACUUAGACUUUUUUGGGAAUAGGCUUGUGAUCAAGACAGUAUGAAGCCAAGAAUAUAUGUGGCAGCCAGAUAGACUUAGGGAUGGCCAAGAAACAGAUGGUGGUGUUGUGACCCAAUCCUGGACGGGGAAACCAAAGGGCAAUCAGCUGUGUGUGUGUGAAGGGCAGAGGAGAGCUUCUGAGGAUGUUUCUGCUUUCUGAUACAAAGACAGACAUUGCUGGUGCUGUGUACUACGCUCUUCUUCCUGCCAUGAAUGUUGAAGUGAUGGCUUGUGAUGAAGCCGCCGUCCUACAACCUGGAGAGAAAGCCUUGCCAUUUUGAGCCACUGAACCAAUGCCAGAUGCCACUUACUUGCAGACAUUUUGUUAAAUGACAACAACAAUCUCAUAUUUGCUUAAGCCCCUGUUAGGUUACCUGUUACUGAAAACAAUCCUAACUGAUGCAGGGGUGUCUGAGUUUGUAUGUGUAUGCACAUGUCUAGGCAAGUAGAACAUUUAAAGGUGACAGUAGCAAGAUACAUGUUAAUUUGUACCCAAAGUUGGCUGGUCCAGUGUCACCUGGAUAUUUAGCAAGGGAAAGCAGGGAUGGAUUGCCAACUUCGUUAAGGUCACACUUAUAACAUGGGAGAGGUUAGGGAUCUGGAGUUUAAAUUUCAUUAAUUAAAUCUGAUGUUCAGGAGACCAGUCUCCCCAAAAUGCUGGCUAUAUUAUAUUGCGGAAAACAGUAUCAUGUGUAUUUAUCAAAAGCUAAGUUUAAGAAGAAAUCUGCUUUUCAUUUUCAAUGUUAACCUCAUUUUAUUUCUUUUUAUAAAAACAAAAUAUAUUCUGUUUAAAUUUUUGGCUAUUUGAAUAAAGAACAAACAGCAUUUACAAAAUGUUACAUUAAAACAACUUACUUUAGGUUUUAAAAAUUUAAAGUGUUUAUGACAAAAAUGGCUUAAAAUAAAAUGGC